This 73-nucleotide transfer RNA is filed under the name Alosa alosa (allis shad). RNAcentral describes it as "tRNA-OTHER". The record is from RNAcentral. Lineage: Eukaryota; Metazoa; Chordata; Actinopteri; Clupeiformes; Clupeidae.
GUUUCCAUAGUGUAGUGGUUUAUCACGUUAAGCCACACUUGAAAGGUCCCCAGUUCGAAACUGGGUGGAAACA